RNAcentral lists this transfer RNA (73 nucleotides) under bacterium. Its description in RNAcentral is "tRNA-Lys". It matches the Rfam family "tRNA". From Rfam's summary of the family: Transfer RNA (tRNA) molecules are approximately 80 nucleotides in length. The record is from RNAcentral.
GCCCGGUUAGCUCAGUUGGUAGAGCGCAAGACUUUUAAUCUUGUGGUCGUGGGUUCAAGUCCCACAUCGGGUG